AGAGGAAGUCAGACCUGCAAACACAAGGAGCAGAAUGAAUAUGAGACCUAAUAUAACCGGGUGAACAAAGGGUUUGACAAAAGUAUGUGUGGGAGGACGAAAGUAAAAUGGGCGUGGAAGUUUCAUACAGUUUCACUCCUGGUUCUCAAACCCUGUCAUUCAACAACUUAUACUGCACUGGGACUUUCACAGGAACAGGUCGACAGUGACAGGGCUGGUGUUUGGACCUUUUGUAACUUUCAACUGAUUUUUUUUUACAUUUAAAGGAAAAAGCUUCAUGUGGCAGGUGUCUCCUUAAAAUGGAUUACUGUUAAGGAGACAAGAAGACAAUACACCUGCCUUCCUUCUCACUGGGACUUUAAUAUACUCUGAGUAAAACACCGGACAAACCAAGGAGCUUCACCAAAGGAGUGUAUUAAGACUGAGGAGUGGAUUCAAAACAGUGACUCUAAAAUUUGAUCAGAUAUGUCUAACCCACCUCACACGACUGUUACAAAGGGUGAAGCAUUGCCACUGACCACCAUAGGGUCAGGUGACACCUGCAUUCAAAUAGUCAGCAGCCUUGGACAGCGUUCUGCGUGCUGCAGGAAUGACAAGUACCACAGGAGACUGGCAAUCGGCAGCAUCAUCUGCGGGAUCACUUGCAUCGGAAUCAACGCUCUGAUAAAUUCAGUCAAGGCUGAGACAGCAACAGAUCCAGAGUCAAUGGCCAAGUUUUCACAACGGGCAAGAAAAUUUGGCAUCAUCUCUAUUGUGGUGUGGGUUUCCCUUCUGGCCUUAAUCCCCGUGCUGAUGGCACUGUUCUCAUAUCUUGCCACUCUGAAAAACUGAUCAACUUUGAUAAACCUCUGCAGAAGGCAACUAACGAAGUGGCUCUUCAGAUUUUGGAUGUUUAUGGAGACGGACUGUGGACAGUACAAAGCUGCUUAUUAAUGACUAAAAACCCAUGAAGAUAUGAAGAAACUGGUAGUUACAUGAAACACUGCUUUAGCUUUUCCUGUGCUGCUUUCUCAGUUUACACUUUUUCUACUUCUUCUUAAAGCAUUUACAUUUUUUUAUACAAAGAACCACUCAAAAAAAUAGUAUUAAAAGUCUUAUAACUUUUACAUGUUUUCUUAUACGCUGUAAUAUUUAUUUAACAAUAUAUAAACAUAUGGACAGUUCUAAAUCUAAAUGACCAUAGAAAAUCCAGCAUUACCAAUAGUUUGAAACAUCACACAACAUGACACAUACACAUUAUAUAUUAAAGAUUACAGCGGUCAUUCCCCAGUAGUGACCCAAUCCUUAAUAUUUUUGCACCUUAAUUGCCAUGACAUAUUUAACAUACAAAUUUUUAGAUACUUGUAUAUACCACAAAAGUUAAUAAAUUAGUCAAUCUGUGAAUCUAAAACGUAGCAACUUGUCCAUGAAGGAUUGGGUCUGUACUGGAAAUGUAAUGGCACGGCAGUGAUCUUGGCAGUGCUUCAUCAGAACAUUAUGAGAUCCUUGUUGUGCCAACAUUCUCUUAUCAAUUACUGAAUUGUUACCAUAUUAUCUUUAUUAAUGUCAUGUAUCAAUUUGUAGUACUUUUAUACAAAUGUGUAACAUAAACAAUUUUUUAUAAUAAAAUGACAAAAAA
This is a long non-coding RNA of Seriola dumerili (greater amberjack), 1618 nucleotides long. RefSeq lists it as uncharacterized. Lineage: Eukaryota; Metazoa; Chordata; Actinopteri; Carangiformes; Carangidae. The transcript has 3 exons. The record is from RefSeq and is a predicted model, not a curated record.